This 131-nucleotide ribosomal RNA is filed under the name Castor canadensis (American beaver). The record is from RNAcentral. Lineage: Eukaryota; Metazoa; Chordata; Mammalia; Rodentia; Castoridae.
AUCUACGGCCAUACCACCUGAAUGUGCCCAAUCUUUUCUGAUCUUGGAAGAUAAGCAGGGUCAGCCCUUGUUAGUAACUGGAUUUAAGAUGUAGAAUAGACAGUUAGGAAUACAAAUAUGGGCUGUGGAGA